This is a ribosomal RNA of Tessaracoccus bendigoensis DSM 12906, 1851 nucleotides long. It matches the Rfam family "Bacterial large subunit ribosomal RNA", at positions 119 to 2143 of the family's 2925-position model. Lineage: Bacteria; Bacillati; Actinomycetota; Actinomycetes; Propionibacteriales; Propionibacteriaceae. The record is from Rfam.
UGGGGAAACCCACCUCUUUGAGGUAUCGUUAUCUGAAUACAUAGGGUAACGAGGCGAACCGAGCGAACUGAAACAUCUAAGUAGCUCGAGGAAAGGAAAUCAACCGAGACUCCGCAAGUAGUGGCGAGCGAACGCGGACCAGCCCAGUGACCAUCGUGUAAGAACCGGAAGCGUCUGGAAAGUCGCACCAUAGCAGGUGAUAGUCCUGUACGGGUAGAAAGCACUUUGGUCCUCGAGUAAGGCGGGACACGUGAAAUCCUGUCUGAAGAUGGGGAGACCACUCUCCAAGGCUAAGUACUCUCUAGUGACCGAUAGUGAACCAGUACCGUGAGGGAAAGGUGAAAAGCACCCCGACAAGGGGAGUGAAACAGUUCCUGAAACCGGAUGCCUACAAGCAGUCGGAGCCUCCUUGAGGGGUGACGGCGUACCUUUUGUAUAAUGGGUCAGCGACUUACCGUAUCGAGCAAGCUUAAGCCGUUAGGUGUAGGCGAAGCGAAAGCGAGUCUGAACAGGGCGUUCAGUUCGAUGCGGUAGACCCGAAACCGGGUGAUCUAGCCAUGGUCAGGUUGAAGGUGGAGUAACACCCACUGGAGGACCGAACCCACGUCUGUUGAAAAAGACGGGGAUGAACUGUGGCUAGGGGUGAAAGGCCAAUCAAACUCGGAAAUAGCUGGUUCUCCGCGAAAGCUAUUUAGGUAGCGCGUCAGAUGAAUACCAUCGGGGGUAGAGCACUGGAUCGGGAAGGGGGGCGCGAGCCUUACUGACUCGAACCAAACUCCGAAUACCGAUGAGUACUGUCUGGCAGACAGACGGUGGGUGCUAAGGUCCAUCGUCAAGAGGGAAACAGCCCAGACCGCCAGCUAAGGUCCCCAAGUCAUGGCUAAGUGGGAAAGGAUGUAGGACGGCCAAAACAACCAGGAGGUUGGCUUAGAAGCAGCCAUCCUUUAAAGAAAGCGUAACAGCUCACUGGUCUAAUAGCUGUCCCGCGCCGAAGAUGUACCGGGGCUAAAGCCAUGCACCGAAGCUGCGGAUGUGCAGCAAUGCACGUGGUAGCGGAGCGUUCUGUAAGUCUGCGAAGGUGUGCCGUGAGGCAUGCUGGAGAUAUCAGAAGUGAGAAUGCUGACAUGAGUAGCGACAAACAGUGUGAGAAACACUGUCGCCGAAAGUCCAAGGGUUCCUGCGCAAGGCUAAUCCGCGCAGGGUGAGCCGGCCCCUAAGGCGAGGCUGAAAAGCGUAGUCGAUGGGAACCACGUUAAUAUUCGUGGGCCUGGCGGAAGUGACGACCUCCGUAAGUUGUUCGCUCUUAUCGGAUUGAGCGGGCCGCGAAGGAGGUCCUGGAAAUAACUCCGCCAUAUAGACCGUACCCCAAACCGACACAGGUGGACUGGUAGAGUAUACCAAGGCGCUUGAGAGAAUGGUGUUGAAGGAACUAGGCAAAAUGCCCCCGUAACUUCGGGAGAAGGGGGCCCAUCCUCGAGGCAACUCUUGGGUGGGGGCACAGACUAGGGGGUGGCGACUGUUUACUAAAAACACAGGGCUCUGCGAAGUCGCAAGACGACGUAUAGGGUCUGACGCCUGCCCGGUGCCGGAAGGUUAAGAGGAGGGGUGCAAGCUCUGAAUUGAAGCCCCGGUAAACGGCGGCCGUAACUAUAACGGUCCUAAGGUAGCGAAAUUCCUUGUCGGGUAAGUUCCGACCUGCACGAAUGGCGUAACGACUUCCCCGCUGUCUCCAACACCAACUCAGCGAAAUUGAAUUCUCCGUGAAGAUGCGGAGUUCCCGCGGUCAGACGGAAAGACCCCGUGCACCUUUACUACAGCUUCACAGUGGCAUCAGAUAUUAGAUGUGUAGGA